GAUAUGGCUCAGGAUGAACGCUAGCGACAGGCCUAACACAUGCAAGUCGAGGGGCAACAUGGUAUCAGCUUGCUGAUACCGAUGGCGACCGGCGCACGGGUGAGUAACGCGUAUGUAAUCUACCUGUAACAGAGGGAUAACCCGGAGAAAUCCGGACUAAUACCUCAUAGCACAUAUUAUUCGCAUGAAUUUUAUGUUAAAGAGACUCGGUUACAGAUGAACAUGCGUU
RNAcentral lists this ribosomal RNA (229 nucleotides) under uncultured bacterium. RNAcentral's name for it is "partial 16S ribosomal RNA". It matches the Rfam family "Bacterial small subunit ribosomal RNA", at positions 15 to 237 of the family's 1533-position model. The record is from RNAcentral.